Molecule: ribosomal RNA, 227 nt
Filed under: uncultured Synechococcus sp.
Lineage: Bacteria; Bacillati; Cyanobacteriota; Cyanophyceae; Synechococcales; Synechococcaceae
Description: partial 23S ribosomal RNA
Rfam family: Bacterial large subunit ribosomal RNA
Source: RNAcentral
GGUCAAGCUACAAAGGGCUCACGGUGGAUACCUUGGCACACAGAGGCGAUGAAGGACGUGGUUACCUGCGAUAAGUCUCGGGGAGCUGGAAACACGCUUUGAUCCGGGAAUUUCCGAAUGGGGCAACCCCUAGAACGGUCCGCUGAAUCCAUAGGCGGACGCGAGCCAACCCAGCGAACUGAAACAUCUUAGUAGCUGGAGGAAAGGAAAGUAAAAACGACUCCCUA